CGGCGGACGGGUGAGUAACGCGUGAGGAACCUGCCUCAAAGAGGGGGACAACAGUUGGAAACGACUGCUAAUACCGCAUAAGCCCACGGGUCGGCAUCGACCAGAGGGAAAAGGAGCAAUCCGCUUUGAGAUGGCCUCGCGUCCGAUUAGCUAGUAGGCGGGGUAACGGCCCACCUAGUCGACGAUCGGUAGCCGGACUGAGAGGUUGAACGGCCACAUUGGGACUGAGACACGGCCCAGACUCCUACGGGAGGCAGCAUG
Molecule: ribosomal RNA, 261 nt
Filed under: uncultured bacterium
Lineage: Bacteria
Description: partial 16S ribosomal RNA
Rfam family: Bacterial small subunit ribosomal RNA
Source: RNAcentral